This 267-nucleotide ribosomal RNA is filed under the name uncultured bacterium. RNAcentral describes it as "partial 16S ribosomal RNA". The record is from RNAcentral.
CUGCUGCCUCCCGUAGGAGUUUGGACCGUGUCUCAGUUCCAAUGUGGGGGACUUUCCUCUCAGAACCCCUACUGAUCGUCGCCCCGGUGGGCCGUUACCCCGCCGGCAAGCUAAUCAGACGCAUCCCCAUCCUUUACCGGCCGAAGCCUUUGGUCAUGAAAAUAUGCAUCAACAUGACAACAUACGGUAUUAAUCCGCCUUUCGACGGGCUGUCCCAUAGUAAAGGGCAGGUUGGAUACGCGUUACUCACCCGUGCGCCGGUCGCCA